Molecule: non-coding RNA, 142 nt
Organism: Caenorhabditis elegans
Lineage: Eukaryota; Metazoa; Nematoda; Chromadorea; Rhabditida; Rhabditidae
Source: Ensembl
CCACAAGCCAUCCCAACCAUUCUCAUCGCCCACUAAAGUUUUGAGGGUUUUUCGUUUUAAAUUGGCGGCUUGACUUUUCUCCCCCCACGCAUGCAUCUCAAUCCCACAAUCCGCUCCUGUUUUUACUACAAAUCCGGUAGAC